AUUUGCUGAGGAGCUAUGAAGUGGACGUGAGAGUCUAUGCCGCCAGCGGUGAUGAUCUUGCCUUCUCCGGCGAUGAUCUCUGUGCCUGGGCCGAUUAUGAUGUCCACGUUGGGCUGAACGUCGUGAUUCCCCGCCUUGCCUAUGGCAGCAAUUAUGCCGUCCUUGAGUCCAAUGUCGGCCUUCACGACGCCCCAAUAGUCAAGAAUCAGCGCAUUAGUGAUGACGGUGUCGACACCGCCUUCGGCUCUGGUGGCCUGAGACUGGCCCAUGCCGUCGCG
Molecule: small RNA, 278 nt
Filed under: marine eukaryotic metagenome
Description: 5' ureB small RNA
Rfam family: 5' ureB small RNA
Source: RNAcentral